Molecule: ribosomal RNA, 496 nt
Filed under: uncultured bacterium
Lineage: Bacteria
Description: partial 16S ribosomal RNA
Rfam family: Bacterial small subunit ribosomal RNA
Source: RNAcentral
ACUCAAAGGAAUUGACGGGGGCCCGCACAAGCGGUGGAGCAUGUGGUUUAAUUCGAUGAUACGCGAGGAACCUUACCAGGGCUUAAAUGGGAAUUGACGUUAUUGGAAACAGUAAUUUCUUCGGACAAUUUUCAAGGUGCUGCAUGGUUGUCGUCAGCUCGUGCCGUGAGGUGUCAGGUUAAGUCCUAUAACGAGCGCAACCCCUAUCAUUAGUUGCCAGCGGGUUAAGCCGGGAACUCUAAUGAGACUGCCAGUGUAAACUGUGAGGAAGGUGGGGAUGACGUCAAAUCAUCACGGCCCUUACGCCCUGGGCCACACACGUGCUACAAUGGCCGGUACAGAGGGCAGCUACUGGGCGACCAGAUGCGAAUCUCUAAAGCCGGUCUCAGUUCGGAUUGGAGUCUGCAACCCGACUCUAUGAAGCUGGAAUCGCUAGUAAUCGCAUAUCAGCCAUGAUGCGGUGAAUACGUUCCCGGGCCUUGUACACACCGCCCGU